AUGAGGCACUAUUUUGUGGAGAAUCUGACAUACCCCGAGUCGUACUUUUGUCGCCGGUUUAGGAUGAGCACUGAGUUGUUCAGGCGCAUUACAGAGAAACUAACGAGCCAUGACCCGUUUUUUCAGCAAAGGAGGAAUGCCGCCAGAGAGCUCGGGCAUAACACCUUUCAGAAGGUGACAGCCGCUUUGCGUAUGUUGGCAUACGGUAUCCCGGCUGAUCUAGUUGAUGAUCACUUGGCCAUGGGUGAGAGCCAAGCCAUCAUGUGUGUCAAGCGCUUCGCAGUCGAAAUUGUGCAAGUGUUUAGCCAGGAGUAUUUGAGAUCUUCCAAUGUUGAAGACGCCGCAAGGCUAUUGAAGAUGAACAAAACUCCCGGCUUCCUAGGUGUAACACCCCGGUGUAAUGAUGCUACAGUAAUCCCUGGGGUUAAGUUAAUCCUUUUGCUAAACAAGUGUUUGAUCAUCUUUGUUUCUCUUUCAUUUCAAAUUCCGGUUGAAUUCAAUUUCAAAUUUUGA
This 513-nucleotide ribosomal RNA is filed under the name Triticum aestivum (bread wheat). Its description in RNAcentral is "partial small subunit ribosomal RNA". Lineage: Eukaryota; Viridiplantae; Streptophyta; Magnoliopsida; Poales; Poaceae. The record is from RNAcentral.